Molecule: ribosomal RNA, 236 nt
Filed under: uncultured bacterium
Lineage: Bacteria
Description: partial 16S ribosomal RNA
Rfam family: Bacterial small subunit ribosomal RNA
Source: RNAcentral
UUGUCCGGAAUCAUUGGGCGUAAAGCGCGCGUAGGCGGCCCGGUAAGUCCGCUGUAAAAGUCCAGGGCUCAACCCUGGAAAGCCGGUGGAUACUGUCGGGCUAGAGUCCGGAAGAGGCGAGUGGAAUUCCUGGUGUAGCGGUGGAAUGCGCAGAUAUCAGGAGGAACACCGAUGGCGAAGGCAGCUCGCUGGGACGGUACUGACGCUGAGGCGCGAAAGCGUGGGGAGCGAACAGG